The sequence is a ribosomal RNA, 277 nucleotides long. It matches the Rfam family "Bacterial large subunit ribosomal RNA", at positions 2217 to 2493 of the family's 2925-position model.
GCUUUCUAACCCGCACCACUUAUCGUGGUGGGAGACAGUGUCAGGCGGGCAGUUUGACUGGGGCGGUCGCCUCCUAAAAGGUAACGGAGGCGCUCAAAGGUUCCCUCAGAAUGGUUGGAAAUCAUUCGUAGAGUGUAAAGGCAUAAGGGUGCUUGACUGCGAGACCUACAAGUCGAGCAGGGUCGAAAGACGGACUUAGUGAUCCGGAGGUUCCGCAUGGAAGGGCCAUCGCUCAACGGAUAAAAGCUACCCCGGGGAUAACAGGCUUAUCUCCCCC